AUUGAACGCUGGCGGCAUGCCUUACACAUGCAAGUCGAACGGCAGCACGGGUGCUUGCACCUGGUGGCGAGUGGCGAACGGGUGAGUAAUACAUCGGAACAUGUCCUGUAGUGGGGGAUAGCCCGGCGAAAGCCGGAUUAAUACCGCAUACGAUCUACGGAUGAAAGCGGGGGACCUUCGGGCCUCGCGCUAUAGGGCUGGCCGAUGGCUGAUUAGCUAGUUGGUGGGGUAAAGGCCUACCAAGGCGACGAUCAGUAGCUGGUCUGAGAGGACGACCAGCCACACUGGGACUGAGACACGGCCCAGACUCCUACGGGAGGCAGCAGUGGGGAAUUUUGGACAAAGGGCGAAAGCCUGAUCCAGCAAUGCCGCGUGUGUGAAGAAGGCCUUCGGGUUGUAAAGCACUUUUGUCCGGAAAGAAAUCCUUGGCCCUAAUACGGUCAGGGGAUGACGGUACCGGAAGAAUAAGCACCGGCUAACUACGUG
This 486-nucleotide ribosomal RNA is filed under the name uncultured bacterium. RNAcentral's name for it is "partial 16S ribosomal RNA". It matches the Rfam family "Bacterial small subunit ribosomal RNA", at positions 30 to 507 of the family's 1533-position model. The record is from RNAcentral.